This 709-nucleotide small RNA is filed under the name Pongo abelii (Sumatran orangutan). RNAcentral's name for it is "retained intron". Lineage: Eukaryota; Metazoa; Chordata; Mammalia; Primates; Hominidae. The record is from RNAcentral.
GAGGGGGACCCAAAAAUCUGAAAAGCCCCUCUAGGCCUUGAUGUGUGGCUCCCACUGGGCAAAGGGGCCCACAGGCAGGUCAGUUACCCCGAGGCCUCCCCUCCCAAGAUCCUGGGACCCUGAGGACUUUGAAGAUGCAUGGAAGAGGCCAGAUGCCUUGCCCGGGCAGUCUAAGAGACUCGCCAUCCCGUGCAAACUGGAGAAGAUGCGGAUUUUGGCACAUGGGGAGCUCGUGCUUGCCACGGCCAUCAGCAGCUUCACGCGGCACGUGUUCACCUGUGGCAGAAGAGGCAUCAAGGUGUGGAGCCUGACUGGCCAGGUGGCUGAGGACAGGUUCCCUGAGAGCCACCUGCCUGUACAGACCCCUGGGGCCUUCCUGCGCACCUGCCUGCUGUCCUCAAACAGCAGGAGCCUGCUCACCGGUGGCUACAACCUGGCCAGCGUGAGCGUGUGGGACCUGGCGGCGCCCUCCCUGCAUGUGAAGGAGCAGUUGCCCUGUGAGGGUCUCAACUGCCAGGCCCUGGACGCCAACCUGGAUGCCAACCUGGCCUUCGCCAGCUUCACCAAUGGUGUGGUCAGGAUCUGGGACCUGCGGGAUCAGAGUGUGGUCAGGGACCUCAAGGGUUAUCCUGAUGGAGUCAAGAGUAUCGUGGUCAAGGGCUACCACAUCUGGACUGGGGGUCUGGAUGCCUGUCUGCGGUGCUGGGAC